Molecule: long non-coding RNA, 4021 nt
Organism: Larimichthys crocea (large yellow croaker)
Lineage: Eukaryota; Metazoa; Chordata; Actinopteri; Sciaenidae
Exons: 4
Source: RefSeq, a predicted model, not a curated record
UGGACAAUAUCUGAGAUCUGACGCGGGAAUACAAACACUGUUAAUUUAUGCGAUUAACUACAUCUGUGUCCAGGCACAUGGCCAAGGCGUCACGGUCCAAAACACAGCAGAAUCCAAAGGCAGCACUCAGGAGCAAACAGUUCAAGUAAAAGAGUCUUUGCUCGUCGAGUUUACAGGCAGGCAAACAAGGUCCAAAGGGGCUAGGCAGAGGCGGAAUACAAAUAGUACAGGCUUGGUUAAAAAGACAGGAUCAGGAGCAGGAAAACAUUGGAGGCUGUAAAGUUAAGGCGUGAACAAAGAGUAGGACGUUAAAUGAGGGGGAAUGACAAACAGGUGUGUGAUGAAGGUGAGCAGGUGAGAUCAUUCAGUAAUCAGGAGAGCUUCAGGAGGGAGGGGCUAAGUCUGAGGGCAACACAAGGUGCACCUGAGUGAGUCACCAUUUACUCCUCAUACAUUUAUCUUUUAAUAAUUUAAAUAAUAUGCCAUUACCAAAGAGUUUGCAGAACACAUUUAGCUCAUGUAGAAACCUAAGACUAAACUAUCACGUCAAGCCUUGUCUUCUCAAAAACAAGUGAGAGUUGGAAUACUAAGGGACUGGACGUUAUCAACAACAGGUGGACAGGGACUGAAAUCUUCUGUGGUCUCAGUGUGUGUGUGACAGUGCUGUUGCCGUACAUUGCCAAAUUAAGCGAGACCUGAGGAGAGAGUGUUUUUCUGAGACACAACAGGAGAAGAUCCACAGAUCUGAGAUCAUUACUGCUCUCAGCAAGUGCUGGGGAAUGAAUUUGAGCUGAGGAUACACCAGAGAAUCAUCACACUGAUUUGCCAUCCUGGUCGUCAGAGGGGAAAUCUUCAACAGAGGCUUGACUCCCUCUAUCAUCCCGGCUGCGACUUGACACCGCUUCCAGGAACCUCUUAGAAAAACAACUGCAUAUUCACCAGUCAGGAUUUAGUUGACUUUUCCACAGUGGCUUUGCAUAAAUCAACUUUGGAAGUGAUCCCCGAAGGUUCAUCACGGGAGCCGUGCGGCGAUAAAAACCCAACAAUCAGUUAUUAUUUUUCACAAUGGUGGGAGCAAAUUGCAGCAGCGGCGCGCUGUGCCUGAAAAGUGGGUGAGAUUUUAGCUGCUUAACCGUGGGUCAUCUCCUGUAAGUAGUGAGGCCUUUGGAUUAGCUACUCCUACACUGCUGUAAUGUGGGACUGCUACAUGUGGGAGUACACAUGACUAGGUGAUGGCGCACAUGCACACACACUGUAGGCCUCUUUGUAUACACAGCGCUGUUGAUCAAUAUGUGUGAUGCAGAUUCAAGUGAAGAGAUACUUGGCUUGCUGACACCUACACAAAAACCAAUGCUCACAUAGGCGUGACAUCCUCCUCCGCUUGACAUCACUUAUUUAACAGUUACUGUAUAUCAACACAAGCGGCUCUGAUGGGACUGAUCUACAGCGUGGAGUGUUUGUAUGGGUUUACAGUUAAUGUCAGGCUGAUAUUCUUGAUGGUAUUUUAUUUAUAUGAUUGGGUAUAUAUGUAGGACAAUUCAAACAUACUUACAAACAACAGUUUAACCACCAGAGGUUAAUUAAUCUGCAGGUAACCACAGCAACAAUACUCGUUACGCUUUACACCUUGAUGAAAGGUGAAAGUAACCGAUGGUUACCUGAAAACAGUGGAAGUAAACAGGAUUUCUUACAUGUUGCUCAAAGGCUGUAGCUGCCAUUCAAGAUAGAGAAGUUGUGUCCUUAUUUAGGGGCACUGUGAUUUAGACUAAUUCUCUCAGUAUUUAGAAAAUCUUUCUACAGACCGGGCUCAAUCCAAAGCAGCAAUAUUUCUUUCCAAAAAACAAAACAAUGAUGCACAGAUUACUGUGAAUAAUCCGAAAAUCUUUCAAGCGGAUUCCUUUUAUCCAUCUUUUUUAGGGAUUCAUAAAAAGAAUUGUGGUGGUUUUGCAAGUUUAUGAUGUAGCACUGCCACGCUUCAGUGGCAAGAAUAACAUGCAGGUAAGUAUGUUUAUAUAAGUGAGUUAAUGAUGAACCAUCAUUGUCAUCAUGCAUGAAUCAUACAAUAAUAAUAAUAGGCUAAUUUUAUACUUGAUCGAUGAUGACGAAGAUACUGAAAAACGGCGAUGCUUGGCAGAAUAGUACAUUUUAGAGAGACUCUUGAAUUUCACAAAUCAUGUUUGCAGGGGAGUUCAUGUGUUAUUAACAGUGAAGCACCCCCUUGUUGUGGAGAGUUGUAGUCAUCAAUGGCCAGCUCAGGCAGUGGUGAGAAAGUGCACAGAAGUCCAAGAUGUCUUAUGCUGAAAGGUUUGUUGAAGCUUGGCCAAGGAGAACGGAAGAUUUAUCAACAUACUUGUCAGGACAUGAUGCCGCUUCACUUCUAAAGAAGCUGUCCUCUCUGACUCAUCUAUACGCCCUGAGCAUAAUGAUACAAACACUUUAUGUCCAUGAAUUAUCACACUUAAUGCAUUGGUCUGACAUUGCUAUCUGACUCUGUAGGAACUUCUACGUUAUGCAACUGUUGUGUCGAGAGAGUCAGACGGCCCUAAUCCUCUGACCUCGGUUACCAUAGUAAUGAUCAGAAUGUCGCCUGCUUCCCUAAAGACAAACAUACAGCUGGUCUGCAUCUCCAGGAGAGAAGUCACAACCUAGCACUGUCUCUGCAAUGAACUCAAGACAUAUGACGGAUCAUAUGUGACGUGCUAGAAUAGAAAAUUAUAGUUCGCACUCUGAACUCCCCUUGUUGCCUGCGCUGGUUUUCUCAUCCAAGGGCACGCAGGUUAGGGUAACUGCCGUGAAUAUGAUCAACAUGAAGGUCUUAAUUCAAAAUGAGGGAUAAUAAUUAUUUAUUAAUAUUUAUUUUGCUGGCAAGUUUUGGUAAUAUUUGAAUUUCAGCUAAUUAAAUACCCAAACAGAUUGAAGAAUGUGCUUCUUUAAAGAGGUCAAAACGCCAGCAACACUUAAAAAUGUGUUGUUUGAAUUCUUCAUUUUCAUUGCAGGUUAGGUUUCUGUUUAGUGUUGAUGCUUUUUUUGCCUGUGACUCUAUGUUGCCAUUGGAAUCUAUUGUAAUUUCUAUAAAAAACAAGCUAUACGUGCAUCUAAAACUGCGGCUGUCAUGCUCUAUAUGUGCCACAAAUGUUCAAAUGUGUUGGAUUUGCCGUCACACCCCAAUCGGUGAUUUCGCAGCAGGUGUUUUGGCCUUGGCAGCUGUUUAGAAAUGCCUGUUACGGCAUUGCUGAUUGGGGUGGGGCAGCAUGUCUGAGAGUUUCAGCUCACAGGGAGCAGAGCAGCAGCCCCUUUUGUGGUUUAGUCCUGAUUUACCCAUCAAGAGCAUUUUAACAUUGCCAAAGGAAUUUCAUUAGCCUGGCUGUCAGCGGAGACUUCAGGCCAUGGUUUAAAGGCUUUUCACUGCUGACAAGGAGAACAUUGUGGGGGAAACGGUGAAUUCUUGAAACUUUUGACAUGAAAAUGGUGCCAUUCAAAGAUAGUUUAGCUGCAUAACAUAUAUAAUACAAAGAGACACUGGUUCAAAUAUGUAGUUUGAGGCUUGUUUAGGUUUCAUUCUGCAUUUAAAUUCAGUACAUGGACAACAAGCAUUCCCUUUAAUUAUGAAACACACUGAAGAAAGCAGCGACCGAACUUCCUUUGCUGUUUGUUUGUCUCUGCAUUGUAGAGGGAACUGAAAACAAAUGAUUGUCUAGCCAUUACCUUCGUCAUAUGAAUACCUGCAGUCAUUUCAAACAUCAGCAGUCAUAUUCGACAGUGAUUACUGGCUAUUUUGAACUUGCUUGGGGAAAGUUUUAUUCUCCUGUGAAGCAGAAAAUACUUUUCGAAAGUAUAAAUUUGUGUUGUUUGUCCAAAUAAGUUUUCUAGUGUGGUGUCUUCUUUGUGUCGUUCAGGUGUGUUAAACCAUAAACCAUCCAGAAAAUCUGCCGAAAAAAGAAAAUGCAAAUGAAUGAGCGUUUCCAUCCAUCCACCCGCAUUAUGCGAUUAUUGAACAGCUGGUGGUGCUAAUUCCAGUUGG